Molecule: ribosomal RNA, 253 nt
Filed under: uncultured bacterium
Lineage: Bacteria
Description: partial 16S ribosomal RNA
Rfam family: Bacterial small subunit ribosomal RNA
Source: RNAcentral
UACAGAGGUCCCAAGCGUUGUUCGGAUUCACUGGGCGUAAAGGGUGCGUAGGCGGUCGGGUAAAUCUGACGUGAAAUCUUCAAGCUCAACUUGGAAACUGCGUCGGAUACUAUUCGGCUAGAGGAAUGGAGGGGAGACUGGAAUACUUGGUGUAGCAGUGAAAUGCGUAGAUAUCAAGUGGAACACCAGUGGCGAAGGCGAGUCUCUGGACAUUUCCUGACGCUGAGGCACGAAAGCCAGGGGAGCAAACGGG